This 616-nucleotide ribosomal RNA is filed under the name Aureobasidium melanogenum. Its description in RNAcentral is "LSU rRNA". It matches the Rfam family "Eukaryotic large subunit ribosomal RNA", at positions 38 to 669 of the family's 3401-position model. The record is from RNAcentral. Lineage: Eukaryota; Fungi; Ascomycota; Dothideomycetes; Dothideales; Saccotheciaceae.
GCAUAUCAAUAAGCGGAGGAAAAGAAACCAACAGGGAUUGCCCUAGUAACGGCGAGUGAAGCGGCAACAGCUCAAAUUUGAAAGCUGGCCUUCGGGUCCGCAUUGUAAUUUGUAGAGGAUGCUUUGGGUGAAACGCCAGUCUAAGUUCCUUGGAACAGGACGUCAUAGAGGGUGAGAAUCCCGUAUGUGACUGGAAAUGUUAACCUAUGUAAAGCUCCUUCGACGAGUCGAGUUGUUUGGGAAUGCAGCUCUAAAUGGGAGGUAAAUUUCUUCUAAAGCUAAAUAUUGGCGAGAGACCGAUAGCGCACAAGUAGAGUGAUCGAAAGAUGAAAAGCACUUUGGAAAGAGAGUUAAAAAGCACGUGAAAUUGUUGAAAGGGAAGCGCUUGCAAUCAGACUUGUUUAAACUGUUCGGCCGGUCUUCUGACCGGUUUACUCAGUUUGGACAGGCCAGCAUCAGUUUCGGCGGCCGGAUAAAGGCUCUGGGAAUGUGGCCUUCACUUCGGUGAAGGUGUUAUAGCCCAGGGUGUAAUACGGCCAGCCGGGACUGAGGUCCGCGCUUCGGCUAGGAUGCUGGCGUAAUGGUUGUAAGCGACCCGUCUUGAAACACGGACCAA